AUUGAACGCUGGCGGCAUGGCUAAAGCAUGCAAGUCGUACGAGAACCGCGCAAGCGGGGACAGUGGCGGAAGGGCGAGUAAUGCGCUCCUACGUGCCCCAAGGUGGGGGAUAGGUCGGGGAAACUCGGCGUAAUACCCCAUGUGCUCUUCGGAGGAAAGCUUUUGCGCCUCGGGAGCGGGGAGCGUCCUAUCAGGUAGUUGGAGGGGUAACGGCCCACCAAGCCAAUGACGGGUAGCGGGGUGUGAGAGCACGACCCGCCGCAUCGGGACUGAGACACUGCCCGGACUCCUACGGGAGGCUGCAGCGACGAAUAUUCCGCAAUGCACGAAAGUGUGACGGAGCAAUGCCGCGUGCAGGAUGAAGCGGCUUCGCCGU
Molecule: ribosomal RNA, 376 nt
Filed under: uncultured bacterium
Lineage: Bacteria
Description: bacterial SSU rRNA
Rfam family: Bacterial small subunit ribosomal RNA
Source: RNAcentral